GUGUCAGCAGCCGCGGUAAUACGGAAGGUGCGAGCGUUAAUCGGAAUUACUGGGCGUAAAGCGCACGUAGGCGGCUUUUUAAGUCGGAUGUGAAAGCCCUGGGCUUAACCUGGGAAUUGCAUCCGAUACUGAAAGGCUAGAGUACGGUAGAGGGGGGUGGAAUUCCAGGUGUAGCGGUGAAAUGCGUAGAGAUCUGGAGGAACACCGGUGGCGAAGGCGGCCCCCUGGACUGAUACUGACGCUGAGGUGCGAAAGCGUGGGGAGCAAACAGGAUUAGAAACCCCUGUAGUCC
RNAcentral lists this ribosomal RNA (292 nucleotides) under uncultured bacterium. RNAcentral's name for it is "partial 16S ribosomal RNA". It matches the Rfam family "Bacterial small subunit ribosomal RNA", at positions 505 to 796 of the family's 1533-position model. The record is from RNAcentral.